Non-coding RNA from Macaca mulatta (Rhesus monkey), 1507 nucleotides. Lineage: Eukaryota; Metazoa; Chordata; Mammalia; Primates; Cercopithecidae. The record is from RefSeq and is a predicted model, not a curated record.
CUUUCUGUGCCUGUUUCCUCAUCUGUGAUAACAGGACUAUGAUAGUACCUACAUAUGCUGGAGAAAUUUAAAGCAGACCAGUGUGACUGGUGGGAGAGUUGUGUGAGAUGUGGCUAAAGAGGUAGGCAGGUUGCAGACCCUGAAUUAAGCAAUAAUUGAGUGCCCGCUAUGCAAUGGGUACUAUGCUGGAAGCUUUAUACAUGUUAUUUCGACUGAGUUGCUUCUCUUCAAGGAAACACUCAUUGACCAAAUUAUUGAAUGAGUGAAAUGCAAUUGUGCUCUUUUAAGGAGGAUUGAAUACACUGCCUUCAGCCUAGGAUUCUUCUUGAGAAAGGAACUGUGCCAACUGUAUAGUUCUCUGAUUAAGUAGUCUCUUUCCUCAGCCAUUUCUAAUGGCAGAGUCUCCUGGGUCGGAACAGAAGAAGUGAAUGCAGUUAGUUGGAAGGCAUGAGCUUCGCACUCAGAAGAUUGAGGCUCAGGUCCCACUGUUGCCAUGUUUCAGGCCGUGUGAGCUUGGGCCAGUCAAUUCCCCUUCACAAGCAUUAUUUUCCACAUCCAAAGAAUACAAUACUCAGUUGCCUUUUCAAAUUGCUAUGGAGAUCAGGUGAAAUAAUGCAUAUGGAAACCAUUUUCACAAUCCAGGAGGUAGCAUACAAUGUUAGAGACCAGUCAGUAUUCAUUGAGAGUUGACUUCUGCCUGCCCGCUGUUCUGGUCAACCUACUGGACCCAAGCAAAACACCCCAUUCAAGUAAGGACACCUGUUACCAUGUGAGAUGCCACCUCACAAAGGAGGGGAGGGGGCACAGCUGUCCUGACCACCUUCCCAGCUUUCACUGAAAAAGCUCUUUUUCUCCUUGGGCUGGGUCCUCUCUCCUGCUGCCUCCACCAUUCCGGUCUUCAUUCCCAAGCCCUUCAGCCAGACAUCAGAAUUUCUCCUUGCACAGCGUUGUUUGAGCAUUCACUGAAGCAAAACCACCUAAAUUGAAAACCACCUGAAUAUUCAUCAAUGAGACAAAGCCUUCCUUGAUAUCCAAGCAUGUAAAAUGUUGAUGGUUGGAGAGUGAAAAAAAGAAAAGAAAAAAGCAUCUGGAUAACCUGACACAAAAAUUAAGAUACACCAUGUUUUAAUUCAUAGGUAAAUCAAUCCAGAUUGGAAUAUCUGCUUUCAUCCCCUAUAUGUCAGUUUAGACAUGACUGCAUUUGGAAAGCCUUUGUUGACACCUGAGUGUAUUGUAUAGUUCAAUCAGUGAAGACUGAUACAUCAUCUUAUAUCAGCUGCAUUCCUUCAUCUUAUGACAAACAUAAACAUGAUUUUAAAAGUUGAAUAUCUUGUCGGAGGACAAAAUCAGUGAUUUCCAGCAGGAGUGAUGCAAAAGCUGCAAGGCUUUGUACUAGAGGAAGAGGAUAUAGUUAAAGGCAUCAGGAUGUCUACAAAACAGAUUUAUUUCCAUCUCAGCAGGAUGCAGCCAUGUUUCUCUAAGUGUUGAUUAAACUGUUCCUCCAUGG